Molecule: long non-coding RNA, 3059 nt
Filed under: Lactuca sativa (garden lettuce)
Lineage: Eukaryota; Viridiplantae; Streptophyta; Magnoliopsida; Asterales; Asteraceae
Description: long non-coding RNA (LSAT_LNC009278)
Source: RNAcentral
ACAAUUGGUUCGCGUGAGGUGAUGGCAAUUCAUUGGUGGGGAAGGGGUCCUUCGGGUGAGGGUUUUCAAGUAGAGAAGUGGGAAGUGUGCGAGAUGGGGUGUAGGAUCGACCCCAUGAUUUCAGAGACCCUGUUCAAUUCAGUAAAAAUAAGCACUAAAUUUUAUAAAUUAUAAAAAUAUAGAAAUAAAUUUCUAGGUUUUCAUUUUGUCUCGAAAUAUACUUUUAUGACAAAAUUUCAAUCAAUAAAUUGCAUAAUAUAUACAAUUCCAGGAGGCAUGUGAAUUGCUAAUUGCUAAUCCAAGAGGCAUGUUAACUGCUAAAUAUCCUAAAUUCUUAAUGUGAAGUAGAAUUAUGAUUUUGAGUCUUGAGCAAUCAAACAGAUUCUGAAUGUAAAAAUCUCAAUUAGAGAGAAAUACUUUAGAAAUGAGUAAAUUAUAAUUUAAAGCUAUUAAAUUGAAACCAUAAAGAUAAAAAGUUAGAAUAGAAACAUAAUUCAUUUAGUGAUUUUAAAAGAUUGUCGAGUUGAAUUCUGAUCAGGAUCGAAGAAGAUUAGAAGAGUCAAAUAUAAGAGCAGAUGAUUGUGAGCUUCUAAGGCCGAAGAUUAAAGAUAAGAACUGAGAAGAAAGUUUCUGAAUUCGUGAUUACGACUAUAAAUUUUGGAUUGUGAUUGUGAUUCAUACAUCAAAAUGAGAGUAUGAGACAUUGAAACUGAAAUGAUUACCGGUUAGUCACUUACCAAUAAUGUGAAUAGUUGCCCUUAGUUUCAAAUGUAUCACCAAUUGACAAUUGAUCAUCGAGAAACUCAUGCGACAUUCUCGUUUUCCAAUUUCCAGAUUAACUUCACACGUCUCGAGUUCCGAGUACAUGAAGUUGUGAACAUUAAUUAACCUAAAGAGACUUGAGCCUAAAAAAAUAUAGACUGGUAUUAAGUAGGACAAAAAAUUUAGGUCUCUAAAGAAGAAUGGGCCCUUUUCAAAGGCACUUUCCGCACUCCUCUUGGGUCGGCCACGAUGGGGUGAUCUUGGUUGGUGGACCCAACCAGUUUUAUAAAAUCAUGGAAUAUUGAUUAAAGUAACUAUUAUAUUGUUAAAUUAAAGAAAAUAAUCUCAAUUUGUUUUUUUAAAUGACAAACUAGUAUGGAAUAGGGCAUUUCGGGCCCGAGUUUAGUCGAGUCCCUCCUCCUUUGUUUAACCCGACUCGAUACUAUGGUCCCAUAUUUUGACAAUUUUUGGAAGAUUGACAUUUCGGUAAAUUUGUCAAUGGGGCGGGUUUGUAGCGAACCACCAUUGAUCCAAACCAUUUUAAAAUUUUGAAAAGAUGAUCCGCCCCGAUCCAUUAACACUCAAUGUAACAACGUGAAUUUCCAAAACAAUUUUUUUCAUUUUUAAAACAUAAUUUCUUUCAUAAUAAAAACCAAAAUCCAAUGUAACACAUGUCCACCAAAUAAAACAAUCCCAAGAUCUCAAAUACAUAAAACUCCAUCAAUGUGUACAGAUCAUGCCGGCGCCUUCCUGCGAUCAUCGCUGGUACCUGAAACACAUAUCACAUAAACGGUAAGCAUAAAUGCUAAGUGAGUUCCCCAAAAUACCACAUACGCACAUACGCCACUCAAGGCUAUAACUUUACAAGACCUUCCAGUCCAUGUGUCUCAGGGGACUUCCAUCCCAUAGUCCUGGUAGACCUUCCGGUAAGUAUCAUCUUGACCUUCCGGCCCAUACACUGUUGACCUUCCGGUCGAUAUCAUAAUACUCAUAACAUAACAUAGCACAUACAUAUCAUAUAAUAGCAUGCAUCACAUACUCAUCAUAGCACAUAAGACCUUCCAGUCACACAUAAUUACCACUCUAGGUAAAGUAUAGUGAGAAGACUCACCUCGUACGAUGUCGGAUAACCUUUCGUGCUCGACAACCCGACCUAGCCUCCUCCUAUCAACAUGAUAACAUCUCUAAUCAAUACUUUCUCUUGUCCUCAUUUCUAAAGAAUGGGUAGAAGACCAUUCCACCCCUCCCUGACCUCUCUUGAACCAACUUGACCGAAACCCUAAGGUCAACUGAAGUCAACCCUAGUCAACGGUCAAACUUUGAUCAAACUCGUCGAGUGCACUCAUGUGACUCGGCGAGCCCAUGCAUGUCCUCUUAAUUGUGACAUCCCCAUUUUCAUGGCCAGAAAAGACCGAUUUUGUUUGUGCUUUAUAAAAAUCAGAGUACUUCAUUUUAUAAAAAUGUUGCGGAAUUUGUUCCCAGAAAAACAUGGUAAAUACGUUAUUAAAACAUUUUCGAAGAAACGUAUUUAUUUCAUUUUAAAACGUUUGGGAUGUCAUCGUUAAUACAGAAACAUAAGCAUAAACAGAACUUACAAUUAUUUACACUAGUGAUCUACAUCUCUUUAAAUCUCUCAGUGUAAUGUCACUUCAUAUCAACACCUGUGAUAUAAAUAAACUGAGUGGGUCAGGUUGGGAAACCUGGUGAGUACAUAGGGUUUUCAACCCACAAUAAUAUAAUUAUUAUGUUUAAACAAUCAAACAAUCAACCCAAUUACCCAUCCCCAUUAUCUUCUUUAUUCUUAAGGAUCUACCCUAAGAAUCAGCUAUUUCUCAUUCAUUCAUUCCUAAGGAUCAUCCUAAGGAAACAACAUGAAGUCCAUUGUUGCCAAUGACACAUUGGUCAAGCGNUUCAAAUAAACACCUACAGGUUGCGAGCCUGCUAGUGUUCCACUGGACUGUCUAGAAUAGUCCGUGGUCGUCAUCUAUACUCCGCUAGAUGACUAGAUCAUCAAGAACAGCUAUAACGAGGCCUCUCAUUAUUUUAUUUUGUCACACAGCAACUAUUACAUCUACCCAUGUUUUACCCAACACAUUUUGUAGAUAUAAAAUACAUAUACAGUUUAAAUCAUUGAAAACAUGUAUAAAACGUUCAUCCAGCAUAGAUAGCAAGUAUACAGAUAAUAUACACACACAGCACGUAAUUUAUAUAAAAUACUUCAUAUCUAUGUGUAAGCUGAAAGUAACUAUGCACUCACCUGAGAAGGUGGUGACUCGGUACUCGGACAGCGCUUCGUU